GGNAUAUAAANCUCGGCUAACUCCGUGCCAGCAGCGCGGUAUCGGGGGAUGCAGCGUUAUCCGGAAUCAUUGGGUGUAAAGCGCCUGUAGGUUGUUUGAUAAGUCUGUUGUUAAAGCCUAGGGCUUAACCCUAGAAAAGCGAUGGAAACUACCAGACUAGAGUAUGGAAGGGGUAGAGGGAAUUUCUAGUGUAGCGGUGAAAUGCGUAGAUACUAGAAAGAACACCAGAAGCGAAAGCGCUCUACUGGGCCAGUACUGACACUCAGAGGCGAAAGCUAGGGUAGCAAAAGGGAUUAGAUACCCCUGUAGUCCUAGCCGUAAACGAUGGAUACUAGAUGUUGUGGGUUACUUGCAACAGAUGUUGCAGGUUAACAUGCAGUGACGAAGCUAACGCGUUAAGUAUCCCACCUGGGGAGUACGCUCGCAAGGGUGAAACUCAAAGGAAUUGACGGGGGCCUGCACAAGCGGUGGAGCAUGUGGUUUAACUCGAUGCAACGCGAAGAACCUUACCAGGAUUCGACAUACUACAAAUCUUUUUGAGAAAAAAGAGCACCUUCGGGAAUGUAGAUACAGGUGGUGCAUGGCUGUCGUCAGCUCGUGUCGUGAGAUGUUGGGUUAAGUCCCGCAACGAGCGCAACCCUUAUUUUUAGUUACUAACUUGUUAGGUUCUCUAGAAAGACUGCCGGUGACAAACCGGAGGAAGGUGAGGAUGACGUCAAGUCAGCAUGCCCCUUAUAUCCUGGGCUACACACGUGCUACAAUGGUUAAGACAAUGAGUCGCAAGCUCGCGAGAGUCUGCUAAUCUGGUAAACUUUGCCUAAGUUCAGAUUGUA
This 833-nucleotide ribosomal RNA is filed under the name uncultured phototrophic eukaryote. Its description in RNAcentral is "bacterial SSU rRNA". It matches the Rfam family "Bacterial small subunit ribosomal RNA", at positions 481 to 1302 of the family's 1533-position model. The record is from RNAcentral.